GCGUCCUUAGCUCAGUUGGUAGAGCAUCUGACUCUUAAUCAGAGGGUCCAGGGUUCGAACCCCUGAGGGCGUA
Non-coding RNA from Bacteroides sp. 43_108, 73 nucleotides. The record is from Rfam. Lineage: Bacteria; Pseudomonadati; Bacteroidota; Bacteroidia; Bacteroidales; Bacteroidaceae.